RNAcentral lists this unclassified non-coding RNA (206 nucleotides) under Hevea brasiliensis (rubber tree). Lineage: Eukaryota; Viridiplantae; Streptophyta; Magnoliopsida; Malpighiales; Euphorbiaceae. The record is from RNAcentral.
AAUGUUGAAUAGCUUCCUUCACAAGCUGCUCAAGUGCAGGAAUUUGGCUGCUGAGCUUGCUUUUCUCUAGCUUCUGUAGCUGAGGCAGUGUCAUUAAUGGAAACCGAACAAAAGGCAGGAAAAUUUCUAAUGACGAGAGUCUCUCCCUAAAGAUUUGCUCAGGUGUUGAAUAACUCAGGAGCUCAUCUACUGCAGCCCAGCCACAG